Molecule: ribosomal RNA, 138 nt
Filed under: Salmonella enterica subsp. enterica serovar Anatum
Lineage: Bacteria; Pseudomonadati; Pseudomonadota; Gammaproteobacteria; Enterobacterales; Enterobacteriaceae
Description: partial 16S ribosomal RNA
Rfam family: Bacterial small subunit ribosomal RNA
Source: RNAcentral
CCGGAAUUUGACCACAGAAGAAUCCAGAGAUGGAUUUGUGCCUUCGGGAACUGUGAGACAGGUGCUGCAUGGCUGUCGUCAGCUCGUGUUGUGAAAUGUUGGGUUAAGUCCCGCAACGAGCGCAACCCUUAUCCUUUG